Molecule: transfer RNA, 87 nt
Filed under: Sterolibacteriaceae bacterium
Lineage: Bacteria; Pseudomonadati; Pseudomonadota; Betaproteobacteria; Nitrosomonadales; Sterolibacteriaceae
Also listed under: 1 other name
Description: tRNA-Leu
Rfam family: tRNA
About the family: Transfer RNA (tRNA) molecules are approximately 80 nucleotides in length.
Source: RNAcentral
GCGCGGAUGGUGAAACCGGUAGACACAAGGGACUUAAAAUCCCUCGGCCGCAAGGCCGUGCGGGUUCGAGUCCCGCUCCGCGCACCA